This is a long non-coding RNA of Oncorhynchus nerka (sockeye salmon), 1837 nucleotides long. RefSeq lists it as uncharacterized. The transcript has 2 exons. NCBI's taxonomy places the organism in Eukaryota, Metazoa, Chordata, Actinopteri, Salmoniformes, Salmonidae. The record is from RefSeq and is a predicted model, not a curated record.
AACCACACCAGUCGCCAUGUUGGGAGACCAGAGUCAGUGUGGUGGAAGUCCUCCAAUUGUCCAUAUAGCUGGCUGGGUUUUGCUACCAACGGAAACUUCGAAAAGAUUGCCCAUUAUUUCGUUUUUCUAAGGACCCAGAAAAUGGAGGAAGUGGGAGAACCUAUUAAAGUGAUCCACCUUCCCUGUGGCUAUCUCUUCUCCUGUAGCUCCAAGGCAUAGCGAUUUGUUCUCCUCCACUAUGUUUCUGUCAGAAACAACUUGACGCACUCUGCCUCAGAGGGAGGACGGCAAGUGGCUUUGCGCUUUUAGCUGGGACUCAUCAAAGAGAACAGCAGGUUCAGGAUGGGUGAAAUGGCUGGCAGUGUUCCAGCUACUGCAGACCUGCUGUACUUCACCCACUGUUGGCCUGCCUCCAUCACCAUCACCAUCUUCAGAUGGACCUGGGACUUCGUCGGUGGGCAAGGGGUCCUCAGAUUCAGCGUUCUUGAAGGUCACAAGUUUGGAGAGCAGCUCCUCACUGUCACUGACAUAAUCUGAUUCCUCACUGUCAUACUCCGAAUCAUUGUCCGAAUUUACAAAAAUCUCCUGAAUUUCCACAUUUGUGAGUUGUCUCCUUUUGAAAUAGAUGUAUAAUUCUACAGCUUACCGCACUAGCUACAUAAACAACAAUACAAUGGCUCCAAGUGAGUGUCAGGGGUGACGUGAUUGGCUGCCGGUGUGGUGAUAAUGAUGAUUUGUUUCCCAGAUGGUUUGUUUACAUAGCAGGUUAGGAUAAUUAACAUGGCAGGUUAGGACAAUUAACGCAGCAGGUUAGGUGAAUUAAUGUAGGAUGUUAACCUCGUUAUCUUAAGGUUAGGAAAAGGGUUAGGGUUAGGCUUAGCUAAAAUGCUACAGUUGUCAACAACUGCCCCUGACGCGACCACUAGACAGAGCUGUUGUAGGCCUAGCUACUCCAUCUAACCACAACGGUAAAGAUGUAAACAAACCGUUUGUGUCGACAAAUCAUCAGUAUCAUAACACCGACAUUGGCCACUUUUAUCGAUAAAUCCGUUUCAGGAAAUGGUUUUAUUUACAUGUUUUCAAGUACUGGUCACAUCUUGCAUUCCAAUUUUUGCAUAGAUUGUAAUGCACACAUAAGAUGUGUGUAAAAUACUUUCUUGAAGGUUGUACUGAUUAUUAUCAGCUAUUGCUAAGCUAUUUGCCGGCUAUGUGUGGAGCCAUGUUUGAUGUCAUUCAAUGCAUUCUGGGUGUCUGUCAGACCAAAGAUGUUAUACCAAAACAAGGUGAAGGGAUGGUUCUCAUCUUUAAACUUCCAGAAGUGAAUGGCUGGGAAGUGAAUGAUGCUAGAUGAAACACCCCCUUCGCCUUCAAAAUUCAUACUCAGACCCAACUCAGCUUGUCACCUCGUGCUUUUACACCUGCAUUGUUUGCUGUUUGGGGUUUUAGGCUGGGUUUCUGUACAGCACUUUGAGAUAUCAGCUGAUGUACGAAGGGCUAUAUAAAUAAAUUUGAUUUGAUUUGAUUUCUUAUCUUUGGUUGAUGCCGAAAAACGAACAUGGCGGGAUUACUUUAGACUUUUAGAAACUCAAUUAUUUUGAUAUGUGAUGAACUGUAAAUAGUCAUUUAUAUUAGCUAAUUCAUAUUAUGGUUUCUAUCAGCUGAGAGUUGACCUAAUAUGACUGCUUGUGUUAGCUCAAUCUUUCCUCAGUUAGCGCUAGGACUGAUGUACUGUAUCCAAUAUUUUCCAAUUUGGAUGAGAAUUGUGUUAUGUCGUUUCUACUUCUGCGAAUGUCUGAAAAUUGCAUCCAAAAAUAAACUGCUCACAUUGAGGACAUAA